CUUGCAGCUGUGCUCCACAGCAGAAUGUGUUUUAAUGAAUCCUGUGGAAGCCUGUGAAAUCCAAGAAUCCUUUCUUCCUUCUUUCUCGUUUGUGUUUGUUGCCUGCAGUUCCAAGCAGGUGGGCUCUCAGUGUCUUGCAAGUGCCACUUAGCAGCAGCAGGUCCAGCCAGGAGGCACAGCACCCUGCAACCUCCAGAAGCACGGUGCGGAGCACAUCCUGGGAUCAAGGUGCCACGGACUGGAAAAUGCUGCUGUGGCGGAGUUCCUGUGUGAAGACAAAACUCCCAGUCGCCCAGAAAUGUGGAGGCAGAAGAGCAGUGACAAGGCAUUGUGAUCAACUUAAAAAAGGAACGCAUGAAGAAUAGCUUUGUUUGCAUUCUGGUAACUGCUGAGGCUUUGGCUGAGGACAGCUUUCAGCUGCACCUGAACUAGGCUGGAUUUGUCUCCUGCUCUCCAUAGGUGUAUGGGAACUGUAUAAUCACAGCCUGACCCUCUGUUUGACCACCUGAGGCGAGUGCUGAGUCAGCUGCAGGGGCACAGGUGAUGGCAGUUUCACCUGAGUGACCGGAAGGGGUGGACCCUGGCUGCAGCCCUGCUAGACCCCAUGUAAGGGCUGACUCCCAAGGAGGAAGGAUCUCUACCUGGAGGUCACCCUUAGUGGAGCCCUUCUGCGCGCCCAGGGUACGGGAAAGCAGUGCGGAGGGAACGUGUGUGGUGAGAUGCUGAGGAGAGAUUGCCUCCCUUGCCCCAGCAGGCUGCUUGUGUCCUGGUGAUGCACGGUGACGAGAAGGCUGCUGUUCUGUGUAUGCCAGAGCAUGAAGCAUGGUCAACAAGCACGGGGUAGCAGCAGCUGGAAACAGGGGAAGCUUCCACAGAGCCCCCCGCUGGAGUCCCAGGGUGAUGAGCUGAAGCUGAUUUGGGCAGCAUGAAACCCGGUGGUUUUCCGGGAUGUGUGCCGUAUAGGGCUCAGGGCUGUCACUGGGGUUGCUUUCACAGGACGCCCCCCAGCCCAGCUCAGGACCCACGGUGAGUCUGUGGGUGACAAAUGUGUCACUGAGAGACAGCAUCAGGGUGGGAAUGCAUGGACCAUAGCGCCCAGGGCAGAGCCAAGCGGUGCUGUGGUUGGGGGGGGGUCAGCCCCAGGGAGAAAGUCUCCCCCACGGAAGAAAUGGAUUGCUUAGCUCCCCACUAAGCUCCCAUUGCCUCCCAGUAUUGUCUAGAGUCUUCUUGUGCAAACUCAGUGCCCCCCAGUGCUGCCUGCGGCCCUCAAUAGCCUCCCAGUGCCCUGCAGUGGGCUUCCCAGUGCCUCCAGUACUGCCCAGUGCCCCCAGCUCAACACACCCACUGCUCGGUCCGUGACCAUCUCCUUCCCCAGGAACAGCACAAGGCAACAGAGACGUUGACAGCAGCGAUGGUGAUGGAGAUGUUGAGAGUGGAGGAGCUCUUGGCUCGCUGCAGCCACCCCAGCAUUCCCGGAGGUG
This 1481-nucleotide long non-coding RNA is filed under the name Gallus gallus (chicken). Its description in RNAcentral is "lncRNA (ENSGALG00010028699.1)". Lineage: Eukaryota; Metazoa; Chordata; Aves; Galliformes; Phasianidae. The record is from RNAcentral.